This 676-nucleotide ribosomal RNA is filed under the name alpha proteobacterium IMCC14337. RNAcentral's name for it is "bacterial SSU rRNA". It matches the Rfam family "Bacterial small subunit ribosomal RNA", at positions 28 to 749 of the family's 1533-position model. The record is from RNAcentral. Lineage: Bacteria; Pseudomonadati; Pseudomonadota; Alphaproteobacteria.
AACGUACGCUGGCGGCACGCCUAACACAUGCAAGUCGAACGAAGUAGCAAUACUUAGUGGCAGACGGGUGAGUAACAUGUGGGUAUCUGCCCUUUGGCCUGGAAUAACACGAGGAAACUUGUGCUAAUACCGGAUAAGUCUUUACGGAGAAAGCUUUAUGCACCAUUGGAUGAGCCUGCACUUGAUUAGUUUGUUGGUGGGGUAAUGGCCUACCAAGACUGUGAUCAAUAGCUGAUUUGAGAGGAUGAUCAGCCACAUUGGGACUGAGACACGGCCCAAACUCCUACGGGAGGCAGCAGUGGGGAAUCUUGCACAAUGGAGGAAACUCUGAUGCAGCGAUGCCGCGUGAGUGAAGAAGGCCCUUGGGUUGUAAAGCUCUUUCGUCGGGGAAGAAAAUGACUGUACCCGAAUAAGAAGGUCCGGCUAACUUCGUGCCAGCAGCCGCGGUAAUACGAAGGGACCUAGCGUAGUUCGGAAUUACUGGGCUUAAAGAGUUCGUAGGUGGUUGAAAAAGUUAGUGGUGAAAUCCCAGAGCUUAACUCUGGAACUGCCAUUAAAACUUUUCAGCUAGAGUAUGAUAGAGGAAAGCAGAAUUUCUAGUGUAGAGGUGAAAUUCGUAGAUAUUAGAAAGAAUACCAAUUGCGAAGGCAGCUUUCUGGAUCAUUACUGACACUGA